CAAGUCGAACGCGAAAGUUCCCUUCGGGGAGCGAGUAGAGUGGCGCACGGGUGAGUAACACGUAGGUAAUCUACCUUCGGAUUGGGAAUAACAACCGGAAACGGUUGCUAAUACCGAAUAAUGCAGCGGCACCUAAUGGUGACAGUUGUUAAAGCGGGGGAUCGCAAGACCUCGCGUCUGAAGAGGAGCCUGCGGCGGAUUAGCUAGUUGGUAAGGUAAUGGCUUACCAAGGCGAUGAUCCGUAGCCGGCCUGAGAGGGCGGUCGGCCACACUGACACUGACAUACGGGUCAGACUCCUACGGGAGGCAGCAGUCGGGAAUUUUGGGCAAUGGGCGAAAGCCUGACCCAGCAACGCCGCGUGAAGGAUGAAAUCCUUCGGGAUGUAAACUUCGCAAGAACGGGAAGAAUAAGUAAGAGCUAACAUCUCUUACGAUGACGGUACUGUUUGUAAGCUCCGGCUAACUCCGUGCCAGCAGCCGCGGUAAUACGGGGGGAGCAAGCGUUGUUCGGAUUUACUGGGCGUAAAGGGCGCGUAGGCGGCCACCGCAAGUCAGUUGUGAAAGCUCUGGGCUUAACCCAGAAAGGUCAACUGAUACUGCGGGGCUAGAGUGCAGAAGGGGCAACUGGAAUUCUCGGUGUAGCGGUGAAAUGCGUAGAUAUCGAGAGGAACACCUGCGGCGAAGGCGGGUUGCUGGGCUGACACUGACGCUGAAGUGCGAAAGCUAGGGGAGCGAACGGGAUUAGAUACCCCGGUAGUCCUAGCCUUAAACGAUGAAUGCUUGGUGUCUGGGGUUUUAUAGUCCCCGGGUGCCGUCGCUAACGCUUUAAGCAUUCCGCCUGGGGAGUACGGUCGCAAGACUGAAACUCAAAGGAAUUGACGGGGACCCGCACAAGCGGUGGAG
RNAcentral lists this ribosomal RNA (903 nucleotides) under uncultured Bacillota bacterium. RNAcentral describes it as "bacterial SSU rRNA". It matches the Rfam family "Bacterial small subunit ribosomal RNA", at positions 58 to 937 of the family's 1533-position model. The record is from RNAcentral. Lineage: Bacteria; Bacillati; Bacillota.